RNAcentral lists this ribosomal RNA (270 nucleotides) under uncultured archaeon. Its description in RNAcentral is "partial 16S ribosomal RNA". It matches the Rfam family "Archaeal small subunit ribosomal RNA", at positions 477 to 747 of the family's 1478-position model. The record is from RNAcentral.
CAGCACCUCAAGUGGUCAGGAUGAUUAUUGGGCCUAAAGCAUCCGUAGCCGGCUCUGUAAGUUUUCGGUUAAAUCUGUACGCUCAACGUACAGGCUGCCGGGAAUACUGCAGCGCUAGGGAGUGGGAGAGGUAGACGGUACUCGGUAGGAAGGGGUAAAAUCCUUUGAUCUAUUGAUGACCACCUGUGGCGAAGGCGGUCUACCAGAACACGUCCGACGGUGAGGGAUGAAAGCUGGGGGAGCAAACCGGAUUAGAGACCCGAGUAGUCC